AGGAUAAACGCUGGCGGCGUGCCUAACACAUGCAAGUCGAACGUCUCUUUCUUCGGGAAGAGGAGUGGCGGACGGGUGAGGAACACGUGGGAACCUGCCCUUUAGUGAGGAAUACCGGCGAGAAAUCGCCGACAAGACCGCAUAGCCCUCUUUGAUGAGAGUCAAAGAAGGAAAGCUUCGCAAGAGGCGCUAGAGGAGGGGCCUGCGUCCGAUUAGCUAGUUGGUGGGGUAAGAGCCUACCAAGGCGUCGAUCGGUAGCUGGUCUGAGAGGACGAUCAGCCACACUGGGAUUGAGAACGGCCCAGACUCCUACGGGGGCAGCAGUGAGGAAUUUUCGGCAAUGGGGGAAACCCUGACCGAGCAACGCCGCGUGCAGGAAGACGGCCUUCGGGUUGUAAACUGCUUUUCUUUGGGAAGAGAACGGACGGUACCAGAGGAAUCAGCCCCGGCUCACUACGUGCCAGCAGCCGC
This 471-nucleotide ribosomal RNA is filed under the name uncultured bacterium. RNAcentral describes it as "SSU rRNA". It matches the Rfam family "Bacterial small subunit ribosomal RNA", at positions 26 to 518 of the family's 1533-position model. The record is from RNAcentral.